This 96-nucleotide signal recognition particle RNA is filed under the name Enterobacteriaceae endosymbiont of Donacia bicoloricornis. RNAcentral describes it as "signal recognition particle sRNA small type". It matches the Rfam family "Bacterial small signal recognition particle RNA". Rfam says of the family: The signal recognition particle (SRP) is a universally conserved ribonucleoprotein involved in the co-translational targeting of proteins to membranes. Archaeal SRP consists of a 7S RNA and homologues of the eukaryotic SRP19 and SRP54 proteins. Lineage: Bacteria; Pseudomonadati; Pseudomonadota; Gammaproteobacteria; Enterobacterales; Enterobacteriaceae. The record is from RNAcentral.
CAUGAUUAUUUAGAACAGUAUUAUUUUACAAACCCAGUCAGGUCUGGAAAGAAGCAGCUGUAGUAAACAUAAUAUGUGUAAAAAAUAGUCAUGUUC